GGGAAAGUGGCUCAGUGGUAGAGCACUUGCCUCGCAUGCAUGAAGCCCUGAGUUCAAUUCCUCAGUACCA
This 70-nucleotide transfer RNA is filed under the name Dipodomys ordii (Ord's kangaroo rat). It matches the Rfam family "tRNA". Rfam says of the family: Transfer RNA (tRNA) molecules are approximately 80 nucleotides in length. The record is from Rfam by way of RNAcentral. Lineage: Eukaryota; Metazoa; Chordata; Mammalia; Rodentia; Heteromyidae.